UUACCUUCUGUUUUGUGCCAUUUUUCUGGACCACUGAUGAACUCUGAUGGAAUUGAGGAACCGAGGAA
Xyrauchen texanus (razorback sucker) is the source of this 68-nucleotide small nucleolar RNA. RefSeq annotates it as small nucleolar RNA SNORD66. The record is from RefSeq and is a predicted model, not a curated record. The transcript has a single exon. Lineage: Eukaryota; Metazoa; Chordata; Actinopteri; Cypriniformes; Catostomidae.